RNAcentral lists this transfer RNA (76 nucleotides) under Salmonella sp. FORC89. RNAcentral's name for it is "tRNA-Glu". The record is from RNAcentral. Lineage: Bacteria; Pseudomonadati; Pseudomonadota; Gammaproteobacteria; Enterobacterales; Enterobacteriaceae.
GGUAUUUUGUUCACGCUGCCGUUCUGGGCCUGCGCCAAAGAUGUCACCAUUAUUUACACCAACGAUCUACACGCCC